GGGUAACCGGAAGGCAUAUUUAGUGGCGAACGGGUGAGUAAUGCAUGAGAACGUAUCCUCAAGAGGGGGACAACAUUGGGAAACCGAUGCUAAUACCCCAUAAGCCGGGAGGUAAAAGGAGCAAUCCGCUUGAGGAGCGGUUCAUGUCCUAUCAGCUAGUUGGUGAGGUAACGGCUCACCAAGGCGAAGACGGGUAGCCGGCCUGAGAGGGUGAACGGCCACACUGGAACUGAGAGACGGUCCAGACUCCUACGGGAGGCAGCAGUGGGGAAUAUUGGGCAAUGGGGGAAACCCUGACCCAGCGACGCCGCGUGAGGGAAGAAGGCCUUAGGGUCGUAAACCUCUGUUGUGUGGGAAGAAGAGCGUGACGGUACCACACGAGGAAGUCCCGGCUAACUACGUGCCAGCAGCCGCGGUAAUACGUAGGGGACGAGCGUUGUCCGGAUUUACUGGGCGUAAAGGGCGCGUA
This 469-nucleotide ribosomal RNA is filed under the name uncultured Synergistota bacterium. RNAcentral's name for it is "bacterial SSU rRNA". It matches the Rfam family "Bacterial small subunit ribosomal RNA", at positions 77 to 573 of the family's 1533-position model. The record is from RNAcentral. Lineage: Bacteria; Thermotogati; Synergistota.